AUACGGAGGAUCCGAGCGUUAUCCGGAUUUAUUGGGUUUAAAGGGUGCGCAGGCGGGAGAUUAAGUCGGCGGUGAAAUUUUGCAGCUCAACUGUAAAAGUGCCUUCGGAACUGGUUUCCUUGAGUGUAGAUGAAGUAGGCGGAAUUUGUGGGGUAGCGGUGAAAUGCAUAGAUAUCACGAGGAACUCCGAUUGCGCAGGCAGCUUACUAAACUACUACUGACGCUCAGGCACGAAGGCGUGGGGAUCAAACAGGAUUAGAUACCCUGGUAGUCCACGCAGUAAACGAUGAUUACUAGCUGUUUGCGAUACAAUGUAAGCGGCUGAGCGAAAGCGUUAAGUAAUCCACCUGGGGAGUACGUUCGCAAGAAUGAAACUCAAAUGAAUUGGCGGGG
This 393-nucleotide ribosomal RNA is filed under the name uncultured bacterium. Its description in RNAcentral is "partial 16S ribosomal RNA". It matches the Rfam family "Bacterial small subunit ribosomal RNA", at positions 523 to 918 of the family's 1533-position model. The record is from RNAcentral.